RNAcentral lists this transfer RNA (57 nucleotides) under Setaria digitata. Its description in RNAcentral is "tRNA-Asn". The record is from RNAcentral. Lineage: Eukaryota; Metazoa; Nematoda; Chromadorea; Rhabditida; Setariidae.
GAGUUUUUAGUAUAUUUUUUAGUAUAUCUAAUUGUUGAUUAGUAGGUUUAGAGCUCU